UGUUUAAGGUGUAAUUCCUCAGGAAGAGCAGUGUGCUUGUGGCCAUUUAAACGAGUUAACGGAGCGUGCCCGUUCAAGUCCGUCUGUGCUUUUCCCCAGGCACAAACCCCAGCUCGACGGGCGGGCGCCCAGGGUUGCUGUCGGCCGAGUCGCUCAGCCCCGCAGGUCCGUGACCUCUGGCUCCUGCCCAUGUCACAUCCCCGUCCUCCGGGUGGAAACUGCGGAAGAAAGUGCAGGAUACGCCUCGGUUUCGCUGACACCGCUCCAGCCGCGCUGGCUCCCGCACUGCUAUUUCUGCUGCAGCUUCCUGUCCUUGACCCAGCGAUACAUUGUGAAGUUCUCCUGAGUCAAUGAAUCCUGGUAAAAUGCAGUAAAGGAUUUAAGGUUAUCGUCUGUCUCUCUCUAACUUCUGACAUCUCUUUAUAACAAGAAAGAGUCACAGCAAACUGUAACAGGAGGGCAACACAAUGAAUUCUGAGGACAUACAGACCUUGUCAUCUGGAGAUGAGGGAGUCACAGCCUUCUGGGGAUCCUCUGCCAAUGUUUCACCACCCUCAUGCCUCUUGUGAAGUAUUUGCAGACAGCAGUAGAUCACCCUGCUCUCUUGGCCUUUUCAAAACUGAAGAACCACCGUGCCCUCAGCCUCUCCUUCACAGGUUUCCUGCUAUAGCUUCCACUGGAGUGUUUUAUGAGAAAUUGGAGCUGCAUAUCACAGUACCUUUUUUCCAUGAGUUAAGGGAGACUGUUCUAACACUUCCAGCUUCUGCUGUCCAGUCAUUCUCUCUUUGUAAUUAGCAUGAAGACUACCCUUCAGUCAAAACUAGCCACCUGGAAAGUUUCAGCUUGUAAUAUGCAGCUUUUUUUGUGAAUUAUGAAUGUGCAAAAAAGAGACCUUUCUCCUUACACCCACUUUCCUUGCAUAAUUCAAAUAUGAAUGAAUGAAUUUUAUUCAGCCUUGCCAAAAAAAAAAAAUAUAUAUUUCAGCUGAUAACAAGCAUGAAAAGUUUCAGAUGAAAGGGAUUUUUUUGAAAAAAGAAGAAUAUUCUGAGCAUGGGAGAAUAGCAGGUUAAGACAGAAGUCUCAGCACAGCCUUAACUAUAACAAUUGCUAUCAAGCAAAUACCAUAUCCAAGCACUAAAUCUUGCUUUGUGCUGCCCUGGUGCACAGUAGCAGGGACAGAGUAGAAUAAUAAAAGCUGGUCCCUUAUGCAAACAGCAAGGCACAGCACUUGAAAGAAUACAAGAAGAAGGUGAACCUGCCUACUGCUCUGGCUGGCUAACCAUGUUCCCGAGGUCUGUGGGUUAGUUGUCACCUCUAGCUCCCGUCAGAUAGCAAAAAGUACUUCAAACACUAUCAAAGGGAAUGUUUUGGUCCGUUCCAGAAGAACAUUUUACUAAUUCCUGGCCUCCAAAUGUGGUAUUCUAUUAAAUAAAGUAUUUGAAGGAAUUUGUAUAAGCAACAUCACGGUUUAAUGGGUCAAAAAGGGAAUUGAAUCAGUGCCAGGCAUUUUUGUGAUUAACCAUGUAUUUUAAAAAUAUAUAUCUGUGAAGAAGGUAUUAUCUGUGCAAAGCAGAAUGAGAUUUGGGCUCAUGCCAGUACCUUUCGAAAAUAAACUAUCACAGUGGAGAAA
RNA transcript from Lonchura striata (white-rumped munia), 1630 nucleotides. RefSeq lists it as uncharacterized. The record is from RefSeq and is a predicted model, not a curated record. Lineage: Eukaryota; Metazoa; Chordata; Aves; Passeriformes; Estrildidae.